Molecule: long non-coding RNA, 306 nt
Organism: Panthera uncia (snow leopard)
Lineage: Eukaryota; Metazoa; Chordata; Mammalia; Carnivora; Felidae
Exons: 3
Source: RefSeq, a predicted model, not a curated record
CGUAGUUGUGAAACAACUUCAACAAGAACUGGCUGAUACUCUGAAGAAACAGUCUAUGUCAGAGGCUUCCCCAGAAGUUACAUCAUAAAUUCUUCUAGAAGAUGAAACACGGGAUCUCAAGAAGAAAUUAGGUCAAAUCAGAAGUCUGUUGCAGGAAGGACAGGAACGACAUGCAGAGGCCGUAAGAUAUACUGAGGAGAUGAAAGAUCAUGUGCAAAAGCUACAGGUUAAAAAUGCCACGGAAGAAGCAACCAGCAAACAUCAAGUGGCCCAAAUUCAAGAUCUUGAGAGCAACGUGAUAAAGAC